RNAcentral lists this unclassified non-coding RNA (350 nucleotides) under rhizosphere metagenome. RNAcentral describes it as "partial ribosomal RNA internal transcribed spacer region". The record is from RNAcentral.
GUAGGUGAACCUGCGGAAGGAUCAUUAAUGAAUAUAACACCGGAGGGAGGAAUACGGGGGACAAAGUUGUCGCUGGCCUUGUAACGAGGCAUGUGCACGCUCCCCGAGGACCUCUCGACGUCUUUCAUCUUAUCACCUGUGCACCUAAAGUAGGUCGGCAUGGUUUUGGUAAAACGAAACCGUGCGAGUGCCUUUCCCUGCGGGGGGAGGUCGAGAACCUAUUGUAUUAAAUUACAUCUUCGUGUAGAAAGUCUUUGAAUGUUUACGAUCAUAGAGCCGCGACUUCUAGGAGACGCGGGUCUUUGAGAUAAAAGUUAUUACAACUUUCAGCAAUGGAUCUCUUGGCUCUC